AGAGUUUGAUCAUGGCUCAGAACGAACGCUGGCGGCAUGCCUAACACAUGCAAGUCGAACGCGUGUAGCAAUACACGAGUGGCGCACGGGUGAGUAACGCGUGGGAACCUGCCCAGUGGUAGGGAAUAACUGCGGGAAACUGCAGCUAAUACCCUAUACGCCCUACGGGGGAAAGUUUUUCGCCAUUGGAGGGGCCCGCGUCGGAUUAGCUAGUUGGUGAGGUAAGAGCUUACCAAGGCGACGAUCCGUAGCUGGUCUGAGAGGAUGAUCAGCCACACUGGGACUGAGACACGGCCCAGACUCCUACGGGAGGCAGCAGUGGGGAAUAUUGGACAAUGGGGGAAACCCUGAUCCAGCAAUGCCGCGUGAGUGAUGAAGGCCUUAGGGUUGUAAAGCUCUUUCGACGGGGACGAUGAUGACGGUACCCGAGUAGAGCC
This 437-nucleotide ribosomal RNA is filed under the name uncultured Tistrella sp. RNAcentral describes it as "bacterial SSU rRNA". It matches the Rfam family "Bacterial small subunit ribosomal RNA", at positions 8 to 494 of the family's 1533-position model. Lineage: Bacteria; Pseudomonadati; Pseudomonadota; Alphaproteobacteria; Geminicoccales; Geminicoccaceae. The record is from RNAcentral.